AGCGAACGCUGGCGGCAGGCCUAACACAUGCCAGUCGAACGAACCUUUCGGGGUUAGUGGCGGACGGGUGAGUAACACGUGGGAACGUGCCUUUAGGUUCGGAAUAACUCAGGGAAACUUGUGCUAAUACCGAAUGUGCCCUUCGGGGGAAAGAUUUAUCGCCUUUAGAGCGGCCCGCGUCUGAUUAGCUAGUUGGUUGAGGUAAUGGCUCACCAAGGCGACGAUCAGUAGCUGGUCUGAGAGGAUGAUCAGCCACAUUGGGACUGAGACACGGCCCAAACUCCUACGGGAGGCAGCAGUGGGGAAUCUUGCGCAAUGGGCGAAAGCCUGACGCAGCCAUGCCGCGUGAAUGAUGAAGGUCUUAGGAUUGUAGAAUUCUUUCACCGGGGACGAUAAUGACGGUACCCGGAGAAGAAGCCCCGGCUAACUUCGUG
This 434-nucleotide ribosomal RNA is filed under the name uncultured bacterium. Its description in RNAcentral is "partial 16S ribosomal RNA". It matches the Rfam family "Bacterial small subunit ribosomal RNA", at positions 29 to 507 of the family's 1533-position model. The record is from RNAcentral.